GACAGAGGGUGCAAACGUUGUUCGGAAUUACUGGGCAUAAAGAGCACGUAGGUGGCCCGCUAAGUCAGACGUGAAAUCCCUCGGCUUAACCGGGGAACUGCGUCUGAUACUGGAUGGCUUGAGUUCGGGAGAGGGAUGCGGAAUUCCAGGUGUAGCGGUGAAAUGCGUAGAUAUCUGGAGGAACACCGGUGGCGAAGGCGGCAUCCUGGACCGACACUGACACUGAGGAGCGAAAGCCAGGGGAGCAAACGGG
This 253-nucleotide ribosomal RNA is filed under the name uncultured bacterium. RNAcentral's name for it is "partial 16S ribosomal RNA". It matches the Rfam family "Bacterial small subunit ribosomal RNA", at positions 524 to 776 of the family's 1533-position model. The record is from RNAcentral.